AACGAACGCUGGCGGCAUGCCUAACACAUGCAAGUCGAACGAGACCUUCGGGUCUAGUGGCGCACGGGUGCGUAACGCGUGGGAACCUGCCCUUAGGUUCGGAAUAACUCCCCGAAAGGGGUGCUAAUACCGGAUAAUGUCUUCGGACCAAAGAUUUAUCGCCUUUGGAUGGGCCCGCGUUGGAUUAGCUAGUUGGUAGGGUAAAAGCCUACCAAGGCGACGAUCCAUAGCUGGUCUGAGAGGAUGAGCAGCCACACUGAGACUGAGACACGGCCCAGACUCCUACGGGAGGCAGCAGUGGGGAAUAUUGGACAAUGGGCGAAAGCCUGAUCCAGCAAUGCCGCGUGAGUGAUGAAGGCCUUAGGGUUGUAAAGCUCUUUUACCCGGGAUGAUAAUGACAGUACCGAAAGAAUAAGCUCCGGCUAACUCCGUG
Molecule: ribosomal RNA, 433 nt
Filed under: uncultured bacterium
Lineage: Bacteria
Description: partial 16S ribosomal RNA
Rfam family: Bacterial small subunit ribosomal RNA
Source: RNAcentral